CGCGCAUCGCUUCGGUGCGCAGGUGGAUGUCUGCUCACAAUAGCGCGACUGUCUCGCGCCACAGGUAGUAGCUGUAGCUGGACUCAGGUGUUGUAACACGACACUGAACCAUGUGAUCAGCGAUGAGAAUUUAGGAAGAAGAAGAAGAAAAAAAAACAGCUCGAGCAUUCACUCAACACACUAGUAAAUAGGCUACCCACUGCACAAGACCACCAUUGAUCUCGAAGGACAAUGUAUUAUUAUUAUUAUUAUGAGCAUUACGCCGGAGUAUUGCGCUAGUUUCGGUUUAAAUACUUCAUUUCACCGGUAAGGUGAGGCGGAAGCGAGCUACGGUCAGAUCUAUUGGAUAUAAAGUCUACAUAUAUUCGUCGGGAAACAUCGUGGAUUAUGAAGGUGGACACACAGCCUGCUAGAGACAGACAGGACUAUUUUUAUUCUUUGAUCUUGGACAUGAUUUAUUGAUCAGCUCUGCUCCACCCUACCCGGAGCUUCAGCCCCUUCUGGUUGAGGGUAGAGGUGCAGACUGACUCCAUCAAUCCGGAGAUGAUACGGCAGGUUGGGCUGUUGGCAGGGAGUUUUCUGCUGCUGCUUCUCAGGAAUGUUUCGGCCCAGGGAUUGCACUAGGAUGUAGAUGAACUUAAAGCUAACAGGCAUCACAUUUGUGGGAAACAACCACAAUGCCCAGUAACUCAACAACUCCCAACCCAAAGAAGAGACAGACGGAAGGGACGUACCAACCCAGCGCAGAGGAGCAGUCAGGAGUGCGUAGUGUAGAGACGCCUGACGCUCUGAAACUACCCAAGGAGGAGAGACUGAUUUGACACACUGGUUUAUGAAGAACCUACAGCACAUGAUACCAGUGACUCAAUUCCAAAAUGGUUAAAUGGAUAAACAUUAACUAAGGAACGUUUCUGAAGGCACAAGGCACAAACUUAGCCCUGUGUUUUGGCUAAACAAAGCGAGUCUGACUACUUGGAAGAAACUUGAAGGAACAAAUCGUCUCUCGAAAAAAGGCAACAUAUUGAUCUGCACGUGCAUCUCUCUAGCAUUUUAUGCCUUAAACUUUUCUCUGAAUACUUCAUUUUGUGUUGUGUUACCUGUUUUAAUGGUUGCUUUACACAUACAAAUGCUGAUGUUUGUAUGUAGUGUUGAGAUACAUUUAAAGGUGAAGCAUGUAAUUUCUGCACCCCUGGUGUCACAAAACAGAAUUGCAGUUUGUUUGUUUUGCAUUCAGAAUGAGCCAGACUUAAAAGGGAUAGUUCACCCAAAAAUGGAAAUUCUGUCAUCAUUUACUCACCCUUAAGUUGUUGUUCUGUUGAGCAGAAAGAUAUUUUAAAAAUGUUGGUAACUGAACAAGUUGACAGUAGCCACUGACUUCCAUAGUAUGGGGGAAAAAUACUAUGGAAGUCAAUGACUACCGUCAACUUUUUAAUGACAAAAUUUUAAUUUUUGGGUGAACUGUCACUUUAAAUGUCAUCAGCUUAACCAAUGGUGUUAAUUUGGGGGCAGGACUAUUUGUUUGACUGAAUAAUGGAAGCUUGGUUAAAUUAGUCAUUAUUUUUGCAUUUCUGUUUGUUAGCACUAGAUUAUGCACACUACACCUUUAAAUAUUUAUUCAAAUCAGUUUGCUCAUAAUAUAGGAUGUUCAUGCUCUUAUAUAUGUUUGUUGAAACCACUUUUCAAAUUAUUUCAAGAGCCGUAUUUGUCUUGAUUUACCUCAGUAAUGUUCUCAAUCUAUAUAAUUUAAUCUAGUAUUAAUUUUCUAGAAAUUUGUUCAGUGCAACAGUCAAUUCUACUUGGAAUCAUUCUUGAUUCUUUUAUCAUAGCAUGAAUGUUUACAUUCAAAUAUUUCAUGCAUUUUUUUCACUGGAGUGCCUUUUCAAAUUUCAGCUUUUUAGAAUCUGUUAAAUUGUGCCGUUUAUAUUUAAGAUUAAAAGACACAGCCAGAUGCCUUUGCUUUUAUAAAUGGUUAUUCCAUAUUAAAAAUAUUGAAGACACAGG
Cyprinus carpio carpio is the source of this 2001-nucleotide long non-coding RNA. The record is from Ensembl. NCBI's taxonomy places the organism in Eukaryota, Metazoa, Chordata, Actinopteri, Cypriniformes, Cyprinidae.